UGCAGUCGAACGAGACCUUCGGGUCUAGUGGCGCACGGGUGAGUAACGCGUGGAAACCUACCAUUCUGUACGGAAUAACGAUUGGAAACGAUCGCUAAUACCGUAUACGCCCUGUGGGGGAAAGGUCCGCCGCAGAAUGAGGGGUCCGCGUCCGAUUAGCUUGUUGGUGGGGUAAAAGCCUACCAAGGCGAUGAUCGGUAGCUGGUCUGAGAGGAUGAUCAGCCACACUGGGACUGAGACACGGCCCAGACUCCUACGGGAGGCAGCAGUGGGGAAUAUUGGACAAUGGGGGCAACCCUGAUCCAGCAAUGCCCGCGUGUGUGAAGAAGGCCUUAGGGUUGUAAAGCACUUUCAAUGGUGAAGAUGAUGACGGUAGCCGUAAAAGAAGCCCCGGCCUAACUUCGUGCCAGCAGCCGCGGUAAUACGAAGGGGGCGAGCGUUGUUCGGAAUUACUGGGCGUAAAGGGCGCGCAGGCGGCCAAUCCAGUCAGGUGUGAAAGCCCCGGGCUUAACCUGGGAACUGCACUUGAUACUGAUUGGCUAGAAAACGGAAGAGGG
Molecule: ribosomal RNA, 557 nt
Filed under: uncultured bacterium
Lineage: Bacteria
Description: bacterial SSU rRNA
Rfam family: Bacterial small subunit ribosomal RNA
Source: RNAcentral